CCUACGGGGAGCUGCAGGGGGGAAUAUUGCACAAUGGGGGAAACCCUGAUGCAGCGACGCCGCGUGAGCGAAGAAGGAUCUCGGUAUGUAAAGCUCUAUCAGCAGGGAAGAAAAUGACGGUACCUGACUAAGAAGCCCCGGCUAACUACGUGCCAGCAGCCGCGGUAAUACGGAGGGGGCAAGCGUUAUCCGGAUUGACUGGGUGUAAAGGGAGCGCAGGCGGCGCGGUAAGUCUGAUGUGAAAGCCCGGGGCUCAACCCCGGGACUGCCUUGGAAACUGUCGUGCUGGAGUGUCGGAGGGGCAAGUGGCAUUCCUAGUGUCGCUGUUCACUGCGUAGAUAUUAGGAGGCACCCCAGUGGCGCUGGCGGCUUGCUGGACGACACCUGACGCUGAGGCUCGAAAGCGUGGGGAGCAAACCGGAUUAGAUACCCGUGUAGUC
Molecule: ribosomal RNA, 440 nt
Filed under: uncultured bacterium
Lineage: Bacteria
Description: partial 16S ribosomal RNA
Rfam family: Bacterial small subunit ribosomal RNA
Source: RNAcentral